CGGGGAGAGGGGGGCAGAAGGAGAAGGAGCGGGCGGCACAUCCCACCCGUCACCCGCUGCGGGGUGUCGGGUCAGGGCACGGGCACCCCACAGCCCGGCGAGCCACGAGCAGGGGUGAUGUGGGAUGCUGGGACGCCGGGACAUUGGGACACUCGGACAUUGGGACACCGGGAUGCUGGGACGCAGCACCCCACGGGACGCCCCGAGCAUCCUCGGGGCAGAGCGGCACGCGCGGGCAGGGACGGAGGCCUUAUUUGGUAGCACGGCGGCUCCGCGCACCCCGCUCGCGGCCCUCGUCCCCAGCCCUCGCCAGCUCGACCCCGGCUGGGGACAGCCAGGGUGGGAAGUGGGGACACGGAGGGCGGCCGCGGUGGGACCCUUCCCAGCGCCAACUCCUCGCCCAUCGCUGCCCCACCGCCGGCACACGCGGGGCACCAAACCAGCGUGGGGACAGCACCCGGGCACGUGGGCGAGCCGUGGGUCAGCCCCAUGGGCGAGGGUCCAGCCCCACGGGCGAGGAUCCGGCGUGGCGGAGGUCCCCCCGCGGCGGCGGGCAGCCAAGCAGCUAAUCCGCUGGUAGAAAAUUAAAGCGAGCCGGGCUGCAAGGCGGCCGGGGGUUGAAGUAGGUGAUUAAAUGCCUGGUGAAUGAGUCACCCGGCUCCUCCUGCCUCUCCCCGCCGUUCCCCUUCCUGUUAAAGUUUACCGGAGGAGGUUUGCGCAGGGGCAGGGGACCGUGACCGCUCCGGCCAUCGCGCAGGGCACCCGGUGCCCUCGGGGGCGGACGAGGAUGGCGAGUGCUGCUCUCGCUGCCGCCGUCCUUUGGGAGGUGAGGACCCUCUUCGUCAGCGGCCUGCCCCUGGACAUCAAGCCCCGGGAGCUCUACCUGCUCUUCAGGCCCUUCAAGGGCUACGAGGGCUCGCUCAUAAAGCUCACCUCGAAGCAGCCCGUGGGGUUCGUCAGCUUUGACAGCCGCUCGGAGGCCGAGGCUGCCAAGAACGCGCUGAACGGCAUCCGCUUCGACCCCGAGAUCCCCCAGACGCUGCGGCUGGAGUUCGCCAAGGCCAACACCAAGAUGGCCAAGAGCAAGCUGGUGGGCACCCCCAACCCCAGCACACCCCUCCCCAACGCCGUACCUCAGUUCAUCGCCAGAGAGCCCUACGAGCUCACAGUGCCUGCACUUUACCCCAGUAGCCCUGAAGUGUGGGGGCCGUACCCCCUGUACCCGGCGGAGUUAGCGCCCGCUCUACCUCCUCCUGCUUUCACCUACCCCGCUUCGCUGCACGCCCAGAUGCGCUGGCUCCCUCCCUCCGAGGCUGGUUCUCAGGGCUGGAAGUCCCGUCAGUUCUGCUGAAUGCCAUGUCUCAGGUGUGUGAUGGCGGCCGACAGUCAGUCUUGUGGGUAUGAACGGAGCCUGCCGCCGCGGCUGCUGGGCGCGCGCUCUCCACAAAACCGCAGUGUGCUGGCUUGAAAAAAGAAAAACAAAACAAAACAAACCUCGCACAAGUUUGGAUUCCUCCAAGACUUUCCCACAGCCUCUAUCACACAUCUGCUCUCCUAGAAGAAAGCGAAAAGCAUACCUAGUAAUAAUAUUUCCCUCUUUUACACUGUAUAUUUGUAAGAAGGAGUGUGUUAUUUCUGAAAGCAUGGUUUGACAGGCAGUGCUGUAGCGUUUGAAAAGUAUUUUCAAACAACCAUAGGAAAGCAGACUACAAAAAAAGGAAAGCGAGAGAGCAAGUAUUUUUGUACCAAACCUUCCGAACAGGACAAUCUUACACUGGGUUGGACCACGUCUUUUGUGCUCGACUUCCGACUCGGCGUCCUUAGGAGUGUGCCCCCCCCGCCGCCAGCUGCACGGCGAAGGCGUGACUUUGUGGUCCGUGCAGACGCCGAGGCGCGUGGCUCGAGGCGGUGGGGCGCGUGCUGCCCUGGCACGGCCCGCCGGGGAUCGGUGUGCUCCGGCUGUGUCAGCACGGCCUCCGUGUGCACUGACAGUAUUAGGGUUUUCUUCCCAGUCGUACCAAACACCACCAGGCAGGACAAUCAGGAACUUCCUUACGACGUUUUUUUUUUACCUGAGGGCUCUGUUACUAGCUCGCUGUGCAAAGCUCCGGCACGGUACAACGCUCGCAUCAGGGACGGGCAGAGAGAGCCCACAUGUGUAGCAAGGUGAGAAUUUGCCUCCUCCUCCUGCCACGGCUGCUUGAAGUUGUUACGGGCAACGUAAACUGCUGUAUGAGACACCAACCUCUCCGUUCCCCCAGCUGACUGCACGUGCCUGCCGUUGUGCCACGGCGCCGGGCUGCCCCGGGCCUUCAGCGUCCGUGUGUCCGUGCAGGAGCAGAGAGAAGAAGGGAGGCAGCACGCGGGACGGCGAGCCAGCCAGCAAAGAGACUGCUUGGCGUGCUAGCCUCUCCUCCUCCUUGCUCCAGCAGGAAUUUGGAUAAGAAAGAGCAAAGCAAAACAAAACAAGAACUCCACCAGAUUUCGGUUUCUUGCAAAAGGAGGCGCAAACCCCGUCUCCUCCGACCGCCUGCUCCCCAAGCGGGAUUCCCAGCCUCUCUUCCUCCUUCCUCUGGUUUCGUGGGUGGGCUGCAACACCACGGCUGGGAAUUCAGCUGCUGGAGCCGUCCGGGGUGGGGGCGAGAUGGGGGGGAAAUGGGAAACUGUGCUGCUGGGGCUGUCUGUGAGCGCUGGGGCUGACAGCAGGGACUCGAGACCCAGGCGGCUCCGCGAGGAACGGCGCCCGCGGUCCCGGGUGAGGGACCGGUAACUCUUGUAGCAAACCGUUUCCUGUACUUUGUUCUGGGGAGGAGAGAGGAAAGGAGCUUCCAACGUUGUCUACUCCGCUUUUGGAACUAUGUUUAAAGGUACUUUUCUAUUGUAAUUUUUUAAAAAUAAAGCCAGUGAUUAUUAUAAGUUA
Cygnus olor (mute swan) is the source of this 2920-nucleotide RNA transcript. It is a transcript of the gene named RNA binding protein, mRNA processing factor, with no coding region annotated. The transcript has 9 exons. The record is from RefSeq and is a predicted model, not a curated record. NCBI's taxonomy places the organism in Eukaryota, Metazoa, Chordata, Aves, Anseriformes, Anatidae.